Molecule: unclassified non-coding RNA, 148 nt
Organism: Macaca fascicularis (crab-eating macaque)
Lineage: Eukaryota; Metazoa; Chordata; Mammalia; Primates; Cercopithecidae
Rfam family: Metazoan signal recognition particle RNA
About the family: The signal recognition particle (SRP) is a universally conserved ribonucleoprotein. It is involved in the co-translational targeting of proteins to membranes. The eukaryotic SRP consists of a 300-nucleotide 7S RNA and six proteins: SRPs 72, 68, 54, 19, 14, and 9.
Source: Ensembl
GCUGGGCGUGGUGGUGCACACCUGUAAUCCUAGCUACUUGAGAGGCUGAAGCAGGAAGAUUGCUUGAGCCCAGGAGCUCAAGGUUACAGUGAGCUAUGAUUGCACCACUGCACUCCAGCCUGGGCAACAGAGCAAGACCCUGUCUCUA